Hyposmocoma kahamanoa is the source of this 357-nucleotide long non-coding RNA. RefSeq lists it as uncharacterized. The transcript has 3 exons. The record is from RefSeq and is a predicted model, not a curated record. NCBI's taxonomy places the organism in Eukaryota, Metazoa, Arthropoda, Insecta, Lepidoptera, Cosmopterigidae.
CCACCCUAUAAGAUGUAUUCCACCUAUCAGUGACAGGAUUAUUUUAAUUUUUUUUUGACGUAGCUGAAUUUUCUUUUUAUAAUAUCAAGUGACGGGACGAACAAUUCGUGCACCUGAAGGUUCAAGCAGCGACAUCUAUCGACACAAAUAUGUACUAAUGGCAACGCUCACAAUGACACCUAGCGGAUCUUACUAAAACUUGAUCGUAUAUACUACGUGGAGUUGAUUUCUCAAGAUUCCCACACAAUAUCAUUUGAUCAACGAGGAGGUACCUACGUUACAUAGACGUCUUGACUUUUUUGUACUAUCCUCGUAUUUUUUAACAAUCUCCACAAUGUGAUUUCCGGUAGCCAGGCA